This is a long non-coding RNA of Micropterus dolomieu (smallmouth bass), 484 nucleotides long. RefSeq lists it as uncharacterized. Lineage: Eukaryota; Metazoa; Chordata; Actinopteri; Centrarchiformes; Centrarchidae. The transcript is spliced from 3 exons. The record is from RefSeq and is a predicted model, not a curated record.
CGUUGUGGCACUGAAACCAGAAUUAACCCCGAAGCUCACUAAGCCUAAAUCCUGCUUCGUGGGGCAGGCAGAUGAAUGCUGGCCAUCGUCCAGAUCCGAAGCAACUGGCAUUGGUAGGCAGUGUGCAGGCUGCAAGGCAGGAAUCCUGAGACAGAGAAGAAACACAACAGGAAUUGCUUGGCUGUACACAAACCAGAGAGAACUACUAAGAGAACUAGAAACACGAGUUGCCCUGAGGUACUUUACCAUGAGGGAAUAGGAAUAAUCUGGUGAGUCUCAGGACACCAGAAGUAUUUGAGCUGGAGGUAAAGAUUGCUGUCAGGUGGACCAUGAGUGCAGCCGUGGUCUGCCAGCACUAACGACUGAUGCAUGACACCUGCUCUGCAGGGUUCAAAAGCCCCUCCUCCUGCUAGCUGUAGUUUCUCUCUCAGUUGCUCUCCAAGCCAGCAGACUCUACAAGAGCAGUCUCCCUAUACCACUUUUA